CUAGAUCAGUACACAGCUGUGAGGGAGAGAGAGUGUGAUAAGUAGUGACGUCCAUGCCCACCAACCAUCGUCACUUACCUCCCACUGAUUAGCGUCCAGUGAGGCGUCCAACAACUUUGUAGCCAGCUGUAAAGAUGAGGAGCUGACAUGACAAGGGCAGUAUUGUGGGCAAUGGGGGGGCACUCACUUGUCUACUGACAGCUGCUGCCUCGAGGUUCUGAAUAAUGAUGAGGUAAGUGGCCGCAGUGCUCAGUCGACCAUCACUCAUACACAGCUGCAGUCAACAAUAGAGUAAAACAUGAUCACACUUUAUAAGAAUCACACGCCAACUAGCUACAAAUAAUAAAUGUAUGUAAUAUCAAGAGUAGAUAAUAGUAAGAGUGUUGAACUACAUGUACUAUAGUAAACAUGAAACCGCAUUUGCCUUAAGUUUCGUCGUCACUGUCGUCACUAUUCAAUUAAUAUGAGUCAACAAACACUCUUACUCUUAUCUACUCUUGAUAAUAUGUAUGCUAGCUAAUAUGUAUGCUAAUAUGUAUGCUAGCUGUAACUAAGGACACACCUCAAAGAGAUCCCUGGGGCUGCCGACAGCUGCAAAGAGAUAUUGCCAGAGGGCUAUCUCAGUCUUGCGGGCACAGUGACCCACCGUCUCCAGGAACUCAGGGAACUGUUUGAUAAACUCCACCCCACACGGCAGGAGGGCGUCUAUGUGGGGGGGGGAGGGGUUCACACCAUCAAUACAAACACCACUGACACCAUUUUGGAAUUGCAUGUUUCUAGCUCAAUGUAAAGAUACCUAGUGGACACACAGCAUCCGACACAGACCCAAGCAAUUAACAAAAGUAGGCGUUGGGACGAGGCUAGUUGGAUACAGUGCUAUUCAGCCAUUGGUUUGAAGAAUGGAAAUGGCCGGUCAAACCUUUAUCUAAAUAUCCCAAACGAUAGAGCUCCUUCCAGAACAAAAGAAUGAAAUUGUACACUCUAAACUAAAGUUGCAUACAGUCAAAGACAUCCAUUGAAAACUGGCAGCGCUAUUUGAGCACAACACACCUACAAUAUUAGCUAGGCCAAUACUACAGCUGCUACUACAUGUAGUACAUCCCAGAGGAGAUCCGACAUGCGUGCACAAAUCACUAAAAGUUCAGUGCAUUUGGCCUGGACGUUAUCACGUGACCGCAAUGACAUCAAUGCACUGAACUUGUAGUGAUUCAUGCAUGCAUAUCGGACCUCCUCUGAGUACAUCCCACUAUCCUCCAAUCUCUCCUCUUUUCUUCCCCACUCUCCGCUAAAAGAUUCAUACCACAUACCACAUACCACAUACCUGGUACAGGCAUGGAUCUUGAGCGAGGUGCCUCCUCCUCGAGUAUCUCAUGCAGCAUGAGCUCCAGGACGUGACGGAAGUAGGGUAGGUGGGAGGAGCUCCGAGCCAUCUGGAGGGCGUGGCUACCAAGACUGGAGGGGGAAGGGAGUAAGAAUAGAGGUGCUAGCUUCCUUAGAUAGUAUUUAGAAGAUAGUUAGAAUGCACAUUGCUCUUUGUACAGUGUACAAGUCGGCACUCCUAGCAAUACAUUAUAGCACUUACUUUCUCCUCAGAAGUUGCCUUAGAAUAUGAUGCAGGAACACAUGAGUCUAGGAGAGAGAGAUACAUAAACAUACUGUACAUACAUACACAAGUACAGUAGGAACAUGUAGCAGCUAGGUGACAAUGGUCUCACUGUUCUCUCGAUGGUGGCGAAGGGGAAGGCGUGUCUGCUGGGGUGGGCGGAGUCAGUGAAGGCAGUCUCGUGGGAGAGCCCAAACAUGAUAGCAUCAGAGAACAGGACAACUGGAGAACAAGAGAGAACAUCACAAAUAUCCAUGAUACACACUACAGGUUGUCAGUCACCUUGAGGGUAGACUGUGAUGGGAAGUGUGAGCAUGAUUCUCUUGGACAGGAACGUCGGGUGACCCUCGUCUCGUGGGUACAGGGGAAGCCACACCUACACAACACGUACAUGUAAGUAGUGGGGAGUGAAUUUG
Halichondria panicea is the source of this 2019-nucleotide long non-coding RNA. RefSeq lists it as uncharacterized. The transcript has 3 exons. The record is from RefSeq and is a predicted model, not a curated record. Lineage: Eukaryota; Metazoa; Porifera; Demospongiae; Suberitida; Halichondriidae.